AGCUAAUACCGGAUAAUAUUUUGAACCGCAUGGUUCAAAAGUGAAAGACGGUCUUGCUGUCACUUAUAGAUGGAUCCGCGCUGCAUUAGCUAGUUGGUAAGGUAACGGCUUACCAAGGCAACGAUGCAUAGCCGACCUGAGAGGGUGAUCGGCCACACUGGAACUGAGACACGGUCCAGACUCCUACGGGAGGCAGCAGUAGGGAAUCUUCCGCAAUGGGCGAAAGCCUGACGGAGCAACGCCGCGUGAGUGAUGAAGGUCUUCGGAUCGUAAAACUCUGUUAUUAGGGAAGAACAUAUGUGUAAGUAACUGUGCACAUCUUGACGGUACCUAAUCAGAAAGCCACGGCUAACUACGUGCCAGCAGCCGCGGUAAUACGUAGGUGGCAAGCGUUAUCCGGAAUUAUUGGGCGUAAAGCGCGCGUAGGCGGUUUUUUAAGUCUGAUGUGAAAGCCCACGGCUCAACCGUGGAGGGUCAUUGGAAACUGGAAAACUUGAGUGCAGAAGAGGAAAGUGGAAUUCCAUGUGUAGCGGUGAAAUGCGCAGAGAUAUGGAGGAACACCAGUGGCGAAGGCGACUUUCUGGUCUGUAACUGACGCUGAUGUGCGAAAGCGUGGGGAUCAAACAGGAUUAGAUACCCUGGUAGUCCACGCCGUAAACGAUGAGUGCUAAGUGUUAGGGGGUUUCCCGCCCCUUAGUGCUGCAGCUAACGCAUUAAGCACUCCGCCUGGGGAGUACGACCGCAAGGUUGAAACUCAAAGGAAUUGACGGGGACCCGCACAAGCGGUGGAGCAUGUGGUUUAAUUCGAAGCAACGCGAAGAACCUUACCAAAUCUUGACAUCCUUUGACAACUCUAGAGAUAGAGCCUUCCCCUUCGGGGGACAAAGUGACAGGUGGUGCAUGGUUGUCGUCAGCUCGUGUCGUGAGAUGUUGGGUUAAGUCCCGCAACGAGCGCAACCCUUAAGCUUAGUUGCCAUCAUUAAGUUGGGCACUCUAAGUUGACUGCCGGUGACAAACCGGAGGAAGGUGGGGAUGACGUCAAAUCAUCAUGCCCCUUAUGAUUUGGGCUACACACGUGCUACAAUGGACAAUACAAAGGGCAGCGAAACCGCGAGGUCAAGCAAAUCCCAUAAAGUUGUUCUCAGUUCGGAUUGUAGUCUGCAACUCGACUACAUGAAGCUGGAAUCGCUAGUAAUCGUAGAUCAGCAUGCUACGGUGAAUACGUUCCCGGGUCUUGUACACACCGCCCGUCACACCACGAGAGUUUGUAACACCCGAAGCCGGUGGAGUAACCUUUUAGGAGCUAGCCGUCGAAGGUGGGACAAAUGAUUGGGGUGAAGUCGUAACAAGGUAGCCGUAUCGGAAGGUGCGGCUGGAUCACCUCCUUUCU
This 1390-nucleotide ribosomal RNA is filed under the name Staphylococcus aureus. Its description in RNAcentral is "bacterial SSU rRNA". It matches the Rfam family "Bacterial small subunit ribosomal RNA", at positions 161 to 1533 of the family's 1533-position model. Lineage: Bacteria; Bacillati; Bacillota; Bacilli; Caryophanales; Staphylococcaceae. The record is from RNAcentral.